UCUCACUGCACAUCAGGAGACCUUUGCUUCUUCUCUUACACUGAGCAUCUGGCGUGGCUUCUUCCUACUAUGGACCACGCAAUGUUUUGAAAAGAAAAUUACCAUGUGCCAAAUAUCUGGAUUCCCAGAAGUUUUAAGACAGCGAGCAAAGGAGAGAAAGUCUGAAGGGCCUCUGGAUCAAGACUUGCUUCAGGCUUGUUCUUUGGUAUUUUGAAGCAAUUUUUAGAGCCACACACAUUUAAGAUGUCUUUAUUUCCUCAGUGAAUUGAACUUUUCAUAAUGGUUAUACGCCCCGCAAUACCUUUGAAAUAGUCUGUGGAUGUUAAAACUGUAACAUACACAUGUAUGUAUGCAUGAGUGAAUACUUGGAGGAGGGGAGAGAAGAGUUGAUAACGAAGAAGAAGAGGAAACAAAAGCUGGGAUAGGUAUCCUUUCCUCCAAGAAUGAGAAUAUUGGCAAAUUGAAUCUCACAUCUCCCUUCCUCAAAGCAAGACCAUCCAAGUCCAGCUUCGAAGCAUCUGGUCCGUCAGUUAGUGGUAGCGGUGGAAAUACUUGGAUGCCUGCUUUUGAUCUGUCAGCAAGCCACCGAUGACCUCAAGUUCACAAGGGCUCGGUAUUCUCAUCUGGAAAAUGAGAUUGGUGGAGUCGAUGGUCUCUUCCAGCUUCAGAGUUCAUUGCUACAAGGAGUGAUGCAAGCUCACAAAGGAACUGAGCUGGCAAG
Long non-coding RNA from Meriones unguiculatus (Mongolian gerbil), 721 nucleotides. RefSeq lists it as uncharacterized. NCBI's taxonomy places the organism in Eukaryota, Metazoa, Chordata, Mammalia, Rodentia, Muridae. The transcript has 4 exons. The record is from RefSeq and is a predicted model, not a curated record.